RNAcentral lists this ribosomal RNA (465 nucleotides) under uncultured bacterium. Its description in RNAcentral is "partial 16S ribosomal RNA". It matches the Rfam family "Bacterial small subunit ribosomal RNA", at positions 338 to 795 of the family's 1533-position model. The record is from RNAcentral.
CCUACGGGAGGCAGCAGUAGGGAAUCUUCCACAAUGGGCGAAAGCCUGAUGGAGCAACGCCGCGUGGGUGAAGAAGGUCUUCGGAUCGUAAAACCCUGUUGUUAGAGAAGAAAGUGCGUGAGAGUAACUGUUCACGUUUCGACGGUAUCUAACCAGCAAGCCACGGCUAACUACGUGCCAGCAGCCGCGGUAAUACGUAGGUGGCAAGCGUUAUCCGGAUUUAUUGGGCGUAAAGGGAACGCAGGCGGUCUUUUAAGUCUGAUGUGAAAGCCUUCGGCUUAACCGGAGUAGUGCAUUGGAAACUGGGAGACGUGAGUGCAGAAGAGGAGAGUGGAACUCGAGGUGUAGCGGUGAAAUGCGUAGAUAUAUGGAAGAACACCAGUGGCGAAAGCGGCUCUCUGGUCUGUAACUGACGCUGAGGUUCGAAAGCGUGGGUAGCAAACAGGAUUAGAUACCCUAGUAGUC